AUUGGGUGGAAAACAGUGGCUGAGUUGCUCCAGAACAAUUCCACCUCAUUUCAGGGGGGGAAAAGGAACUGAAGCAAGUGUCAGUCCUGAAGCAUCAUCCAUCCUGUUGUGUCAUGGAGGCGCCAAUAAUCAGAUUGUCACAGUUUCCAAGAAAGAAUGGAAAGAUGGAAAAUUGACAUU
This 180-nucleotide long non-coding RNA is filed under the name Naja naja (Indian cobra). RNAcentral describes it as "lncRNA (ENSNNAG00000014474.1)". The record is from RNAcentral. Lineage: Eukaryota; Metazoa; Chordata; Lepidosauria; Squamata; Elapidae.